RNAcentral lists this small RNA (107 nucleotides) under Marmota monax (woodchuck). The record is from RNAcentral. Lineage: Eukaryota; Metazoa; Chordata; Mammalia; Rodentia; Sciuridae.
GCUGGACGUGGUGGCUCAUGCCUGAAAUCCUAGCUAUUCAGGAAGCUGAGGCAGGAGGAUCAUAAGUUCAAGGCUAGCCUGGGCAGCUUAGUGAGACUCUGUCUCAA